AUGACGAACGCUGGCGGCGUGCUUAACACAUGCAAGUCGAACGGAGAUUAGAAGGAAGCUUGCGAAUUCUAAACUUAGUGGCGCACGGGUGAGUAACGCGUGGAUAACCUGCCUGGUAGACCGGGAUAACAGCUGGAAACGGCUGCUAAUACCGGAUACGCUUAAGGGAACGCAUGUUCUUUUAAGGAAAGCAAUCGUGCUAUCAGAUGGAUCCGCGUCCCAUUAGCUAGUUGGUGGUGUAAGGGACCACCAAGGCGACGAUGGGUAGCCGGCCUGAGAGGGCGACCGGCCACACUGGGACUGAGACACGGCCCAGACUCCUACGGGAGGCAGCAUUGGGGAAUCUUCCGCAAUGGGCGAAAGCCUGACGGAGCAACGCCGCGUGAGGGAAGAAGGCCUUCGGGUUGUAAACCUCUGUCAUCAAGGAAGAACAGAUGACGGUACUUGGAGAGGAAGCCCCGGCUAACUACGUGCCAGCAGCCGCUGUAAAACGUAGGGGGCGAGCGUUGUCCGGAAUUACUGGGCGUAAAGGGUGCGUAGGUGGUCCAUUAAGUUAGAGGUGAAAGAUCGGGGCUCAACCCCGAGAUUGCCUCUGAUACUGGUGGACUUGAGUGCAUGAGAGGGGAGCGGAAUUCCCAGUGUAGCGGUGAUUG
RNAcentral lists this ribosomal RNA (653 nucleotides) under uncultured bacterium. Its description in RNAcentral is "bacterial SSU rRNA". It matches the Rfam family "Bacterial small subunit ribosomal RNA", at positions 26 to 688 of the family's 1533-position model. The record is from RNAcentral.